AGCGACGAGUCCCAAAUAGGACGAAACGUACGUCCUUGGU
RNAcentral lists this non-coding RNA (40 nucleotides) under Schistosoma mansoni. The record is from RNAcentral. Lineage: Eukaryota; Metazoa; Platyhelminthes; Trematoda; Strigeidida; Schistosomatidae.